CCUACGGGAGGCAGCAGUGGGGAAUAUUGCACAAUGGGGGAAACCCUGAUGCAGCAACGCCGCGUGAGUGAAGAAGUCAUUCGUGAUGUAAAGCUCUAUCAGCAGGGAAGAAAAUGACGGUACCUGACUAAGUAUCCCUGGCCAAUUUCGUGCCAGCAGCCGCGGCAAUACGGAGGGGGCAAGCGUUAUCCGGAUUUACUGGGUGUAAAGGGAGCGUAGUCGGCGACGCAAGUCUGAAGUGAAAUGUCUGGGCUCAACAGUAGAAGUGCUUUGGAAACUGUGUGGCUAGAGUGCAGGAGAGGUAGGUGGAAUUCCUGGUGUAGCGGUGAAAUGCGUAGAUAUUAGGAAGAACACCAGUGGCGAAGGCAGCUUACUGGACUGUAACUGACAUUGAGGCUCGAAAGCGUGGGGAGCAAACAGGAUUAGAUACCCCAGUAGUC
Molecule: ribosomal RNA, 440 nt
Filed under: uncultured bacterium
Lineage: Bacteria
Description: partial 16S ribosomal RNA
Rfam family: Bacterial small subunit ribosomal RNA
Source: RNAcentral